UAGGUUAACGAGGCGAACCGGGGGAACUGAAACAUCUAAGUACCCCGAGGAAAAGAAAUCAACCGAGAUUCCCCCAGUAGCGGCGAGCGAACGGGGAGCAGCCCAGAGUCUGAAUCAGCUUGUGUGUUAGUGGAACGGUCUGGAAAGUCCGACGGUACAGGGUGAUAGUCCCGUACACCAAAAUGCACAGGCUGUGAACUCGAAGAGUAGGGCGGGACACGUGGUAUCCUGUCUGAAUAUGGGGGGACCAUCCUCCAAGGCUAAAUACUCCUGACUGACCGAUAGUGAACCAGUACCGUGAGGGAAAGGCGAAAAGAACCCCGGCGAGGGGAGUGAAAAAGAACCUGAAACCGUGUACGUACAAGCAGUGGGAGCACCUUCGGGUGUGACUGCGUACCUUUUGUAUAAUGGGUCAGCGACUUAUAUUCUGUAGCAAGGUUAACCGUAUAGGGGAGCCGCAGGGAAACCGAGUCUUAACUGGGCGUUAAGUUGCAGGGUAUAGACCCGAAACCCGGUGAUCUAGCCAUGGGCAGGUUGAAGGUUGGGUAACACUAACUGGAGGACCGAACCGACUAAUGUUGAAAAAUUAGCGGAUGACUUGUGGCUGGGGGUGAAAGGCCAAUCAAACCGGGAGAUAGCUGGUUCUCCCCGAAAGCUAUUUAGGUAGCGCCUCGUGAACUCAUCUUCGGGGGUAGAGCACUGUUUCGGCUAGGGGGUCAUCCCGACUUACCAACCCGAUGCAAACUACGAAUACCGAAGAAUGUUAUCACGGGAGACACACGGCGGGUGCUAACGUCCGUCGUGAAGAGGGAAACAACCCAGACCGCCAGCUAAGGUCCCAAAGUCAUGGUUAAGUGGGAAACGAUGUGGGAAGGCACAGACAGCCAGGAUGUUGGCUUAGAAGCAGCCAUCAUUUAAAGAAAGCGUAAUAGCUCACUGGUCGAGUCGGCCUGCGCGGAAGAUGUAACGGGGCUAAACCAUGCACCGAAGCUGCGGCAGCGACACUAUGUGUUGUUGGGUAGGGGAGCGUUCUGUAAGCCUGCGAAGGUGUGCUGUGAGGCAUGCUGGAGGUAUCAGAAGUGCGAAUGCUGACAUAAGUAACGAUAAAGCGGGUGAAAAGCCCGCUCGCCGGAAGACCAAGGGUUCCUGUCCAACGUUAAUCGGGGCAGGGUGAGUCGACCCCUAAGGCGAGGCCGAAAGGCGUAGUCGAUGGGAAACAGGUUAAUAUUCCUGUACUUGGUGUUACUGCGAAGGGGGGACGGAGAAGGCUAUGUUAGCCGGGCGACGGUUGUCCCGGUUUAAGCAUGUAGGCUGAUUGUCCAGGCAAAUCCGGAUAAUCAAGGCUGAGGUGUGAUGACGAGGCACUACGGUGCUGAAGUAACAAAUGCCCUGCUUCCAGGAAAAGCCUCUAAGCAUCAGGUAACAUUAAAUCGUACCCCAAACCGACACAGGUGGUCAGGUAGAGAAUACCAAGGCGCUUGAGAGAACUCGGGUGAAGGAACUAGGCAAAAUGGUGCCGUAACUUCGGGAGAAGGCACGCUGGUGUGUAGGUGAAGUCCCUG
This 1562-nucleotide ribosomal RNA is filed under the name Klebsiella pneumoniae. RNAcentral's name for it is "partial 23S ribosomal RNA". It matches the Rfam family "Bacterial large subunit ribosomal RNA", at positions 167 to 1770 of the family's 2925-position model. Lineage: Bacteria; Pseudomonadati; Pseudomonadota; Gammaproteobacteria; Enterobacterales; Enterobacteriaceae. The record is from RNAcentral.